UUGCAAUGUUAUUAAUUAAAAUGUAGGUUAGGUUAUUGUUUUCAUCACAAGCUGGUAUCUGUUAUAAUGAAUAAACAUAUUCGUAAAUCGUAAUGUACAUUUAAACUCAUAGACUUUUGUCGUUGUUAUACCAAGAGCCAUGUUUCGCUGCGGCAGUAUAAAAUUCGAAAAGGACAGUAUAAGCCCCAUGUUCACAAAUCGUAACCCAAGACAUUUCAAAUACCUACGAAUCGCUAAUAAACCGGACGGCUACUACGGUGAUAAAUCUGGAACGCUCCUACUGGCAUAAAUAUACAAAUUUGCUUUCCUACCGCCUCCAAUAAGACAGCCCGAUUGUAGAUGACAACCGACACAAACAGGCCGUCACGUAACUUCAUUGUUCGUCCAUUACAUCAACGGACCCGACACUCACCGCUAGCACGAAGGAAUGGGCCAUCAAAACCAGGCUGUAUAAGACCAUGCACCAAGUCGUUGGCGUUUCAGUUCUUCGUACAAAGACACCUUGCAAGCGGUCCGACAGAGUUUAUGUGCGAUUGCAAACCCGAACACAACGACAGUAAGGUCACAAAGUUUCUAACGUGCUCCAAGAUUUCAAUUUGAAAUUGUCUGAACCGGAAUAGUCAAGAGAGCCGUGGACGAGAGAAAGAUUACCAAACCCGUGGGAUAUAAUCUGACUUGACAGAUAAUGUGAAUCGAUCUUAAAUUGUGGACCUAUUAGUUUCUGUAAAGAGAAGGCUGAGAAUUGGGUCGCUGCAAUGAAGUGAUAGAAAGCCCUACGUUCAGUCUGUCGAGAUGCUUCCCUGUUUCUAACUCAAAGGUUCUUCCAAAGAAGUUAUAGUGAAUUGGCAAUUUCAAAUUGAAAUCUUGGAGCACAUUAGAAACUUUGCGACCUUACUGACGUUGUGUUCGGGUUUGCAAUCGCACAUAAACUCUGUCGGACCGUUUGCAAGGCAUCUUUGUACUAAGAACUGAAACCUACAAGUAGCAAACAUUAAAUUGAAUGCAGGGACGUUCACGUACGCCAACGACUUGGUGCAUGGUCUUA
Photinus pyralis (common eastern firefly) is the source of this 1045-nucleotide long non-coding RNA. RefSeq lists it as uncharacterized. The transcript is spliced from 4 exons. NCBI's taxonomy places the organism in Eukaryota, Metazoa, Arthropoda, Insecta, Coleoptera, Lampyridae. The record is from RefSeq and is a predicted model, not a curated record.